RNAcentral lists this small RNA (74 nucleotides) under uncultured Paenibacillus sp. RNAcentral describes it as "BsrC". It matches the Rfam family "BsrC", at positions 9 to 79 of the family's 87-position model. Rfam says of the family: The 301 nucleotide sequence from Kouji Nakamura has been trimmed to a highly conserved ~85 nucleotide long core to form this family. The record is from RNAcentral. Lineage: Bacteria; Bacillati; Bacillota; Bacilli; Caryophanales; Paenibacillaceae.
UCAUACAACAAAAGCCCUACCUCUCUUUUGUCCUUGCGGCUCCGAAGACCGCGCCAGUUUGAAUGAAAAUAAAA